UGUUGGAAAAAGAUUUGCUUGGAAAUCAGAGGUUUGAUUGCUGAGAUUUGAGAAAGAAAAUAACAAUGGCAACUUAGAUUCAGGAUUUCAAUUCUUAUUGUAUCAGCUUGAUGAAAUUGAAAAAUGCUAGUAAAGAUGAAAUCGAACACCCUAUUUGUUCCUAACUUAAUCUCUCUUUUGUCUUUGCAAUCCUUAGACAUUUAUAUUCCAUUGCACAAAUCAGGUAAAACGUGGAGGAGCUGGCAGAGGUAAUUGGGGAGCUCAGAUUGAUAAAUUGGCUGAGUGAGUUUCUCCUUGGCGCCUUUGGUAGUACGUCUUUAAUCAAUAGAAUGGCAUAUACUUUUUCUCAUAUAUCUAAUAUUGUGAUCCUUCUACCAUGGUUUCUAGAGUUACCGACAAAGUCGUCAAUUAUGGUGGGAUCAAUCUGAAUGCUGAAAUGGAAAGAAUGCCCAUGUGACAAGGCAACUUAUUGAACGUA
This is a long non-coding RNA of Olea europaea var. sylvestris, 478 nucleotides long. RefSeq lists it as uncharacterized. NCBI's taxonomy places the organism in Eukaryota, Viridiplantae, Streptophyta, Magnoliopsida, Lamiales, Oleaceae. The transcript is spliced from 2 exons. The record is from RefSeq and is a predicted model, not a curated record.